CUACGGGAGGCAGCAGUGAGGAAUAUUGGGCAAUGGGGGAAACCCUGACCCAGCAAUGCCGCGUGGGUGAAGACGGCCUGCGGGUUGUAAAGCCCUUUAGGCGGGGAAGAACGGCCGGGCGCAAACAGCGCGCGGCUCUGACGUUACCCGCAGAAUAAGCACCGGCUAACUCCGUGCCAGCAGCCGCGGUAAUACGGAGGGUGCGAGCGUUAAUCGGAAUUACUGGGCGUAAAGCGUGCGUAGGCGGUUCGGUCAGUCAGCCGUGAAAGCCCCGGGCUCAACCUGGGAACGGCGGUUGAGACGGCCGGACUAGAGGGGGCUAGGGGAUCGUGGAAUUCCCGGUGUAGCGGUGAAAUGCGUAGGGAUCGGGAGGAACACCGAUGGCGAAGGCAGCGGUCUGGGGCCAAACUGACGCUGAGGCACGAAAGCGUGGGGAGCAAACAGGAUAGAAACCCUGGUAGUCC
RNAcentral lists this ribosomal RNA (464 nucleotides) under uncultured bacterium. RNAcentral describes it as "bacterial SSU rRNA". It matches the Rfam family "Bacterial small subunit ribosomal RNA", at positions 339 to 796 of the family's 1533-position model. The record is from RNAcentral.